This 32-nucleotide non-coding RNA is filed under the name unclassified sequences. RNAcentral's name for it is "S4-Bacteroidia ribosomal protein leader". It matches the Rfam family "S4-Bacteroidia ribosomal protein leader". The record is from RNAcentral.
GAUUGCACGUACCCUCUCUGUAAUCGCGGCUG